AAAAAGUUAGUUUAAAAAACAUUAAUUUGUCAAAUUAAAAUUAUCCAAUGAUACUUUUUU
This 60-nucleotide transfer RNA is filed under the name Ceratocombus sp. HL-2012. Its description in RNAcentral is "tRNA-Asp". The record is from RNAcentral. Lineage: Eukaryota; Metazoa; Arthropoda; Insecta; Hemiptera; Ceratocombidae.